UAGGGAAUCUUCGGCAAUGGACGAAAGUCUGACCGAGCAACGCCGCGUGAGUGAAGAAGGUUUUCGGAUCGUAAAACUCUGUUGUUAGAGAAGAACAAGGACGUUAGUAACUGAACGUCCCCUGACGGUAUCUAACCAGAAAGCCACGGCUAACUACGUGCCAGCAGCCGCGGUAAUACGUAGGUGGCAAGCGUUGUCCGGAUUGAUUGGGCGUAAAGCGAGCGCAGGCGGUUUCUUAAGUCUGAUGUGAAAGCCCCCGGCUCAACCGGGGAGGGUCAUUGGAAACUGGGAGACUUGAGUGCAGAAGAGGAGAGUGGAAUUCCAUGUGUAGCGGUGAACUGCGUAGAUAUAUGGAGGAACACCAGUGGCGAAGGCGGCUCUCUGGUCUGUAACUGACGCUGAGGCUCGAAAGCGUGGGGAGCAAACAGG
This 429-nucleotide ribosomal RNA is filed under the name Gemmatimonadota bacterium. Its description in RNAcentral is "Gemmatimonadetes bacterium partial 16S ribosomal RNA". It matches the Rfam family "Bacterial small subunit ribosomal RNA", at positions 355 to 776 of the family's 1533-position model. The record is from RNAcentral. Lineage: Bacteria; Pseudomonadati; Gemmatimonadota.